UACGGUAGGGUGCAAGCGUUAAUCGGAAUUACUGGGCGUAAAGCGUGCGCAGGCGGUUAUGUAAGACAGUUGUGAAAUCCCCGGGCUCAACCUGGGAAUUGCAUCUGUGACUGCAUAGCUAGAGUACGGUAGAGGGGGAUGGAAUUCCGCGUGUAGCAGUGAAAUGCGUAGAUAUGCGGGAGGAACACCGAUGGCGAAGGCAAUCCCCUGGACCCUGGUACUGACGCUCAUGCACGAAAGCGUGGGGAGCAAACAGG
RNAcentral lists this ribosomal RNA (257 nucleotides) under uncultured bacterium. Its description in RNAcentral is "partial 16S ribosomal RNA". It matches the Rfam family "Bacterial small subunit ribosomal RNA", at positions 524 to 776 of the family's 1533-position model. The record is from RNAcentral.